CGGUCCUAAGGUAGCGAAAUUCCUUGUCGGGUAAGUUCCGACCUGCACGAAUGGCGUAAUGAUGGCCAGGCUGUCUCCACCCGAGACUCAGUGAAAUUGAACUCGCUGUGAAGAUGCAGUGUACCCGCGGCAAGACGGAAAGACCCCGUGAACCUUUACUAUAGCUUGACACUGAACAUUGAGCCUUGAUGUGUAGGAUAGGUGGGAGGCUUUGAAGUGUGGACGCCAGUCUGCAUGGAGCCGACCUUGAAAUACCACCCUUUAAUGUUUGAUGUUCUAACGUGGACCCGUAAUCCGGGUUGCGGACAGUGUCUGGUGGGUAGUUUGACUGGGGCGGUCUCCUCCUAAAGAGUAACGGAGGAGCACGAAGGUUGGCUAAUCCUGGUCGGACAUCAGGAGGUUAGUGCAAUGGCAUAAGCCAGCUUGACUGCGAGCGUGACGGCGCGAGCAGGUGCGAAAGCAGGUCAUAGUGAUCCGGUGGUUCUGAAUGGAAGGGCCAUCGCUCAACGGAUAAAAGGUACUCCGGGGAUAACAGGCUGAUACCGCCCAAGAGUUCAUAUCGACGGCGGUGUUUGGCACCUCGAUGUCGGCUCAUCACAUCCUGGGGCUGAAGUAGGUCCCAAGGGUAUGGCUGUUCGCCAUUUAAAGUGGUACGCGAGCUGGGUUUAGAACGUCGUGAGACAGUUCGGUCCCUAUCUGCCGUGGGCGCUGGAGAACUGAGGGGGGCUGCUCCUAGUACGAGAGGACCGGAGUGGACGCAUCACUGGUGUUCGGGUUGUCAUGCCAAUGGCACUGCCCGGUAGCUAAAUGCGGAAGAGAUAAGUGCUGAAAGCAUCUAAGCACGAAACUUGCCCCGAGAUGAGUUCUCCCUGAGACUUAGAGUCUCCUGAAGGAACGUUGAAGACGACGACGUUGAUAGGCCGGGUGUGUAAGCGCAGCGAUGCGUUGAGCUAACCGGUACUAAUGAACCGUGAGGCUUAACCUU
Molecule: ribosomal RNA, 985 nt
Filed under: Salmonella enterica subsp. enterica serovar Thompson
Lineage: Bacteria; Pseudomonadati; Pseudomonadota; Gammaproteobacteria; Enterobacterales; Enterobacteriaceae
Also listed under: 1 other name
Description: partial 23S ribosomal RNA
Rfam family: Bacterial large subunit ribosomal RNA
Source: RNAcentral